RNAcentral lists this long non-coding RNA (237 nucleotides) under Ananas comosus (pineapple). Its description in RNAcentral is "long non-coding RNA (ACOM_LNC006673)". The record is from RNAcentral. Lineage: Eukaryota; Viridiplantae; Streptophyta; Magnoliopsida; Poales; Bromeliaceae.
ACCAUUUUGGGGUUUUAGUAUUUGUAAUACUCAAAUAAUCUCACAUCACAUGAAAAAAAUAUUUGAUUGGAAAAAUAAAAAAUUACACAUCCUAAUAAUAAUAAUUACGCUUAAGCAGUUUGGGUUGGUAGUUUGGAUCCAACGAGUUAUUAUUGCUAGUGGGUCGGAUCAUUAUAAUAUUAAUGAAAUGGACUGCUAGACAGAGAAGUUGUAAUAUUACAACUAAAAAUUAGAUAU